CCUUCGAUAGCUCAGUUGGAAGAGCGUGAGACUGUAAUGGGAUACCUGCUCAUCUCAAGGUCACUGGUUCGAUCCCGGUUCGAAGGA
Molecule: transfer RNA, 87 nt
Filed under: Trametes sanguinea
Lineage: Eukaryota; Fungi; Basidiomycota; Agaricomycetes; Polyporales; Polyporaceae
Also listed under: 1 other name
Description: tRNA-Tyr
Rfam family: tRNA
About the family: Transfer RNA (tRNA) molecules are approximately 80 nucleotides in length. Their secondary structure includes four short double-helical elements and three loops (D, anti-codon, and T loops).
Source: RNAcentral